RNAcentral lists this ribosomal RNA (492 nucleotides) under uncultured bacterium. Its description in RNAcentral is "partial 16S ribosomal RNA". It matches the Rfam family "Bacterial small subunit ribosomal RNA", at positions 29 to 507 of the family's 1533-position model. The record is from RNAcentral.
AGUGAACGCUGGCGGUAGGCCUAACACAUGCAAGUCGAACGGCAGCACAGUAAGAGCUUGCUCUUACGGGUGGCGAGUGGCGGACGGGUGAGGAAUACAUCGGAAUCUACUUUUUCGUGGGGGAUAACGUAGGGAAACUUACGCUAAUACCGCAUACGACCUACGGGUGAAAGCAGGGGAUCUUCGGACCUUGCGCGUUUGAAUGAGCCGAUGUCGGAUUAGCUAGUUGGCGGGGUAAAGGCCCACCAAGGCGGCGGUCCGUAGCUGGUCUGAGAGGAUGAUCAGCCACACUGGAACUGAGACACGGUCCAGACUCCUACGGGAGGCAGCGGUGGGGAAUAUUGGACAAUGGGCGCAAGCCUGAUCCAGCCAUACCGCGUGGGUGAAGAAGGCCUUCGGGUUGUAAAGCCCUUUUGUUGGGAAAGAAAAGCAGCAGGUUAAUACCCCGCUGUUCUGACGGUACCCAAAGAAUAAGCACCGGCUAACUUCGUG